Molecule: ribosomal RNA, 426 nt
Filed under: uncultured bacterium
Lineage: Bacteria
Description: bacterial SSU rRNA
Rfam family: Bacterial small subunit ribosomal RNA
Source: RNAcentral
GUGAGGAAUUUUCCGCAAUGGGCGAAAGCCUGACGGAGCAAUGCCGCGUGAAGGAUGAAGGCCUAUGGGUUGUAAACUUCUUUUCUCAGAAAAGAAUUAUGACGGUAUCUGAGGAAUAAGCAUCGGCUAACUCUGUGCCAGCAGCCGCGGUAAGACAGAGGAUGCAAGCGUUAUCCGGAAUGAUUGGGCGUAAAGCGUCUGUAGGUUGUUUAAAAAGUAUUCUGUCAAAGAUUAGGGCUUAACCCUAGAUAGGCAGAAUAAACUUUUAAGCUAGAGUUUGGUAGAGGCAGAGAGAAUUCCCGGUGGAGCGGUGAAAUGCGUAGAUAUCGGGAGGAACACCAAAGGCGAAGGCACUCUGCUGGGCCAAUACUAACACUGAGAGACGAAAGCGAGGGGAGCAAAUGGGAUUAGAAACCCCGGUAGUCC